CACGUAGGGGGCGAGCGUUGUCCGGAUUUAUUGGGCGUAAAGAGCUCGUAGGCGGCUCAGUAAGUCGGGUGUGAAAACUCCAGGCUCAACCUGGAGACGCCACCCGAUACUGCUGUGGCUAGAGUCCGGUAGGGGAGCAUGGAAUUCCUGGUGUAGCGGUGAAAUGCGCAGAUAUCAGGAGGAACACCAGUGGCGAAGGCGGUGCUCUGGGCCGGAACUGACGCUGAGGAGCGAAAGCAUGGGGAGCGAACAGG
Molecule: ribosomal RNA, 254 nt
Filed under: uncultured bacterium
Lineage: Bacteria
Description: partial 16S ribosomal RNA
Rfam family: Bacterial small subunit ribosomal RNA
Source: RNAcentral